AGGAGAUAGAGAUCAAAUAAAGGGAAAGAUCAUUUAAAUAUUGGUACAUUUGAGAACAAAAACAGAACAAGGUUAAGGGUAGAGAGUGAUGGGGAACGAGGGGCUCAUUUAGACUUUGUGGCUAGGGAAGGCCUCUGUGGAGGUGACCUUUGAGCUGAGACCUGGGUGACAGGAAAGACCCAAUCAUGCCAGUGAGGGAGCAGAGCGAGUUGAGAGCCCCUGCGGGGGGAACGAGUCAGCAUUUGCCCCGGCCGGAAGAGGCUCCAGGUGUCUACAGCCCCAGUUCACCAGCAAAGGUCAGAGAGGGGGGUCAUGACUGGAUCCAGUAGGGCCUCUUAGGCCAUGAUAAGGAAAAGGAAACCUGAUGCUCCAGGAUUGGCCACAGUUGCAAGAUGAAGCUGAUGCUGUGAACAGCUGUGUGGGGAGAUGGAAAUAACCUGGGGCCCCGAUGACAUUGUUAAAUCCCCAAAUCAACCAGCCUCAAAGCCCAUCUUACUUCUAAACUUCCUGUUGUUUGAGAUAAUAAAUCUCCUUAUUCUUUAAAAACCA
Callorhinus ursinus (northern fur seal) is the source of this 549-nucleotide long non-coding RNA. RefSeq lists it as uncharacterized. NCBI's taxonomy places the organism in Eukaryota, Metazoa, Chordata, Mammalia, Carnivora, Otariidae. The record is from RefSeq and is a predicted model, not a curated record.